This 381-nucleotide long non-coding RNA is filed under the name Gallus gallus (chicken). Its description in RNAcentral is "lncRNA (ENSGALG00010019824.1)". Lineage: Eukaryota; Metazoa; Chordata; Aves; Galliformes; Phasianidae. The record is from RNAcentral.
CAAGAUACACCAAUGUGCCUUGAAACUCGUCUCUGGCAUUGGCCUGUAUUGCCAAGAGGCUGAUCUUACUGACAGUGAAUACUUUCUUUCAAUACACAACACACACAUGGGAUGCAGAGUUUCUUUGGUUCCUGCAGAUGCUCAGGAAAUGCUGUAUCAACCACAAGGUGAGAUCCACAACACUCUGUGGUCAGCUCAUCAUUACAGAAACACAGCUGCUGACACCUACCAAAAUGGAACUGAUUGCGUGGAAGAAAUCGGUGGAAGACAAAGCUCCAGGAGCUCCAAGCAUGGGAAAGGCUGCAGGUCCAAGGCAGGAUAAUGAGACAAUGAAAUGGAGUGCAAAACCCCAGCACCAGGCUCCAAGGACCUCACGGGCCC